Molecule: ribosomal RNA, 824 nt
Filed under: Lichinella nigritella
Lineage: Eukaryota; Fungi; Ascomycota; Lichinomycetes; Lichinales; Lichinellaceae
Description: SSU rRNA
Rfam family: Bacterial small subunit ribosomal RNA
Source: RNAcentral
GCAACUUGGAGGAAUGUAUAGCAUAAGCUAGUUAUAUUUAGUUAAAUAUAAUUUCGACUAUGUCGUAUAAAAUUCUAGGUAGAAUAAUGAUAAUGACAAUUUUCUAUCUAUUUGUCUUGACCAAAUCUCGUGCCAGCAGUCGCGGUAAUACGAGGGAGACUAGUGUUAGUCAUCUUUAAUAGGUUUAAAGGGUACCUAGACGGUAUUUCAAGCCAUUCACAUGGGACAGAUUUACUAGAGUUUAAUAUGUGAGCAGGUAGUAUUUUUGGUGUAGAGAUAAAAUUCGUUGAUACCAUAAGGACUGGUAAAAGCGAAAGCAACCUUAAGUGUUUUUCUUCGAAGAACACUAAGACUAGUAGGUUAUAUAACAUGGGGUGUAUUUAAGGGUAAAUACCUCAUAGGUUAUAAUUCUACUGUCUUAAACUAUGUAUAAACUGACGUUGAGGGACGAAGGCCAGGGGAGCAAGAAGGAUUAGAUACCCUAGUAGUCCUGGCAGAAAAUGAUGAGUGUCAUAAACUAGACAUUUUAGUUUAUAAAUGAAAGUGUAAGCAUUCCACCUCAAGAGUAAUGUGGCAACACAGGAACUGAAAUCAUUAGACCGUUUCUGAAACCAGUAGUGAAGUAUGUUAUUUAAUUCGAUGCUCCGCGAAAACCUUACCACAAUUUGAAUAUUUUUACAAGCGCUGCACGGCUGUCUUCAGUUAAUGUCGUGAGAUUGUGGUUAGCUCCAUAAAAUUAGCGUAAACCCUUGCUUUAUUUAUAUUUUUAAUAAAGUAGUUCGCCGUUAUAUUGGUUUGAUAUAAGGGAUCAAGACAAGUCAUCA